AUGGCCGUCGCCGACGCCGUGCUGCCCUCGCCGCCGCCGCCACCGCCGGCGCGGAUCGUCGUCGUCGUGCGCUUCGCCCUCACCCCGAUGCUGGCGCUCGGGCGCGUCCUCUGCGUCGCGGGGGGAGCCCUCGCCUGCCUGUGCUUCGCCGCUGCGUGGGUCACCUCCGUGGCCGCGGCUGCACAGAUCGUGGCGCGCCGCUCCUGGGGCGAGGGCUCCGCCCCCUUCCUCUUCCUCCAGGCGCUCACGUACGGGGCUCUCAAGGUCUGCGUCUGCAGCUUCCUUGUGUUCGUCGCGCUUGCCGUCCUUUGGGCGUGCGUGGCCUGCGUGAUUGCACUUGUAUCUGGAUCCACUCCGGGAUUCAAGAAGAGCGCCUCCGGACCAAUCACGCGGGAGUCGGUUGCAGGCUUGUUUAGGCUUCUGCGCCCUGCGGUGCUUGGAUUGGUCGCGGAUGUGGCCUUCUUCCUGCUAGCGCUCGCUGGUCUUCUGGUAGCAAUGAUGUCGCCACAUGUGGAGGGAUCGAUAUCUCAGGGGGAAAUGGUUGGUUCUGUAAUCGAGGAUGUGGGGACAUUUGGUAUACACGCGAGACGCGACAGCUUGCGUUGUGAUCCCAGCUCUCGUUCUUAG
Molecule: ribosomal RNA, 627 nt
Filed under: Triticum aestivum (bread wheat)
Lineage: Eukaryota; Viridiplantae; Streptophyta; Magnoliopsida; Poales; Poaceae
Description: partial small subunit ribosomal RNA
Source: RNAcentral